UUUCAUGCACUCUGCUGUGAGGUGUUAUUUCAUUCCGAAAUUGCCCUCUCUCUUCAGCCACUUCAGAGUCCACAUCAGAAGGCCUACAAAACAGAGUCUCACUCGCUCAAUCACCCAGCCUUCUUUUCCAAUGGAUCAAGCUCAGUUUCUUCUGGUAGGGUUACCUCUGUUUCUCUUCUUCUCAUACAUCAUAAAUCUCUUCACGCCAUUGCCUCCAAAGCCACCGCCGCAUCAUCACCAUCAUCGUCAUCACCACCAGCAACCCCAACCCAAACCCCAAUCGGCUUCUUUAGAUUUCCCCACACAGAAAGAGAGUGGUAUUUGAGGUAUUGGCUUCGGCAACACCGUCAAUAUUAAUUUCUGUUCCUCUUGUUCCUACAGCCACCAUGGUCUCCAUGUAAGCAGCCACGGGUCUCCAAAAUUGGCCAUGUAAUCAGCACUCAAAUCUAAACCGAAAAGAACCCGAUCAGAGGAAACAUGGCAUGAGGGGCUUCGUGCAUCUCCACAAAGUGCUGGGUUCUCAUUUCUUAAUGGUCGGGUGCUUGGUGGACUGGAUGACUUGAGACAAGUUGAAGCCAAAUAUGCAGCUUUUCUUUUUAAACAGCAACUCACAACGUUCCUUCAGAAUAUAUAUGGAAUGAUAAGAGACAAUUUAAAGAAAUAUUUCCCCAUUGCUUGGAUUGUGUAUUCAGGAAAUUCUUCUUAGCAAUAGUUAAUUUGAAACAAAAUAUGAAUGGUAUGACUAGUUCCAUUUAAUAUCAAUAGCAACUCAAAUUUUAGACA
Molecule: long non-coding RNA, 783 nt
Organism: Vitis vinifera (wine grape)
Lineage: Eukaryota; Viridiplantae; Streptophyta; Magnoliopsida; Vitales; Vitaceae
Exons: 4
Source: RefSeq, a predicted model, not a curated record